AUAAUUAACUUUUUUUAAGGAAUUUAUAUUUUAGUAUCUAGUGAAUUAAUUUUUAUUUAUUACUGAUAAGGAUAAUAAAUAUAUUUAUAUUGAAAAAUUUUUAGUACCUUUUGUAUCAGGGUUAAUUUAAUUAUUAAUUUAUAAUUAUUUUCUCGAAUUUAAAAAAUUUAAGUUAAUAUAAUUUUAUAUGUUUUAUAAUAUUGUUUAAUAUUAAUUUUAUAAUUAAAAGUUAAUUGUUUUUUUAUAUAUCUGGUUUUAAUGGAAAUUAAUUUAAUUAAGGAGUUAUUAUUUUAUUUAUUAAUUAUAUUUUAAUUCUUAUAAUAUUAAGGAUAAUCUUAAUAUUUUAUUAUAAUUUAUUAUUAUAUAUUUUUAUUAUUUUUAGUAUUAUUAUUUUAGUUUUUAAUAAAUUUAAAUAUUUUAUUAUGAUUUUUUUUUAUUUAAUAUUUUACAUUUUUUUUUUUAUUAAUUUUUUUUAUUAUAAAUAAUGAUUAAAUUAGUAUAAUUUAUAAUUUUUAUUUAUGAAUUUGACAAAUAUUUAUUUUUAACUGUUUAUCAAAAACAUUUCUUUUAGGAUUAAAAUUAAAAGUAAAUUCUGCUCUAUGAUUAUUUAUUUUAAAUGGCUGCAGUAUUUUAACUGUACAAAGGUAGCAUAAUAAUUUGUUACUUAAUUGGUAACUGGAAUGAAUGAAUAAAUAAGAAAUAAUUUUUAUUAGUAAUAUUAUUAUAAUUUUAUUUUUUAGUAAAAAAGCUAAAUUUUAUUCUUGGGACGAUAAGACCCUAUAGAACUUAAAUUAAUUUUUGUUUAUUUAUUUUAAUUAUAUUAUUAAAUUUAAAAUUAAUUUUUAUUGGGGUGAUAAAUAAAUUUACUCUUUAUUUUAUAUAUUCAUGUAUAAUUGUUUUUUUUGAUCCAAUGGUUUUGAUUUUAAGUUAAGUUACCUUAGGGAUAACAGCGUAAUUUUUAUGGAAAGUUCACAUUUAUAUAUAAGUUUGCGACCUCGAUGUUGAAUUAGGAUAAAUUUAUUAGGUAGUAUUUUUAAUAUUAAGUCUGUUCGACUUUUAAUUUCCUACAUGAUUUGAGUUCAAACCGGUGUAAGCCAGGUUGGUUUCUAUCUUAGAUUAUUUAUUUUCUUUUAGUACGAAAGGACCAUUGAAAUCAAUUUUUAUUGUU
Molecule: ribosomal RNA, 1168 nt
Filed under: Krisna nigromarginata
Lineage: Eukaryota; Metazoa; Arthropoda; Insecta; Hemiptera; Cicadellidae
Description: 16S ribosomal RNA
Source: RNAcentral